RNAcentral lists this ribosomal RNA (460 nucleotides) under uncultured bacterium. Its description in RNAcentral is "partial 16S ribosomal RNA". It matches the Rfam family "Bacterial small subunit ribosomal RNA", at positions 338 to 795 of the family's 1533-position model. The record is from RNAcentral.
CCUACGGGUGGCAGCAGUGAGGAAUAUUGGUCACUUGGCGCGAGCCUGAACCAGCCAAGUAGCGUGAAGGAUGACUGCCCUACGGGUUGUCAGCUUCUUUUAUAAAGGAAUAAAGUGAGGCACGUAUGCCUUUUUGUAUGUACUUUCUGAAUAAGGAUCGACUAACUCCGUGCCAGCAGCCGCGGUAAUAAGGAGGAUCCGAGCGUUAUCCGGAUUUAUUGGGUUUAAAGGGAGCGUAGAUGGGUUGUUAGGUCAGUUGUGAAAGUUUGCGGCUCAACCGCAAAAUUGCAAUUGACACUGGCAGUCUUGAGUACAGUUGAGGUAGGCGGAAUUCGUGGUGUAGCGGUGAAAUGCUUAGAUAUCACGAAGAACUCCGAUUGAGAAGGCAGCUUACUAAACUGCCACUGACAUUGAUGCUCGAAAGUGUGGGUAUCAAACAGGAUUAGAUACCCUAGUAGUC